Molecule: ribosomal RNA, 427 nt
Filed under: uncultured bacterium
Lineage: Bacteria
Description: partial 16S ribosomal RNA
Rfam family: Bacterial small subunit ribosomal RNA
Source: RNAcentral
UGGGGAAUAUUGGACAAUGGGCGAAAGCCUGAUCCAGCCAUGCCGCGUGUAUGAAGAAGGCCUUCGGGUUGUAAAGUACUUUCAGCGGGGAGGAAGGUGUUGUGGUUAAUAACCACAGCAAUUGACGUUACCCGCAGAAGAAGCACCGGCUAACUCCGUGCCAGCAGCCGCGGUAAUACGGAGGGUGCAAGCGUUAAUCGGAAUUACUGGGCGUAAAGCGCACGCAGGCGGUCUGUCAAGUCGGAUGUGAAAUCCCCGGGCUCAACCUGGGAACUGCAUCCGAAACUGGCAGGCUUGAGUCUUGUAGAGGGGGGUAGAAUUCCAGGUGUAGCGGUGAAAUGCGUAGAGAUCUGGAGGAAUACCGGUGGCGAAGGCGGCCCCCUGGACAAAGACUGACGCUCAGGUGCGAAAGCGUGGGGAGCAAACA